Molecule: ribosomal RNA, 228 nt
Filed under: uncultured bacterium
Lineage: Bacteria
Description: partial 16S ribosomal RNA
Rfam family: Bacterial small subunit ribosomal RNA
Source: RNAcentral
GAUCAUGGCUCAGGACGAACGCUGGCGGCGUGCUUAACACAUGCAAGUCGAACGAGAAUCUACGGAUCGAGGAUUCGUCCAAGAGAAGUAGAGGACAGUGGCGGACGGGUGAGUAACGCGUGGAGGAACCUGCCUUUCAGAGGGGGACAACAGUUGGAAACGACUGCUAAUACCGCAUGACACAUUGGGGUCGACAUGGCUCUGAUGUCAAAGAUUUAUCGCUGAAAG